Molecule: ribosomal RNA, 253 nt
Filed under: uncultured bacterium
Lineage: Bacteria
Description: partial 16S ribosomal RNA
Rfam family: Bacterial small subunit ribosomal RNA
Source: RNAcentral
UACGUAGGGGGCUAGCGUUGUCCGGAUUUAUUGGGCGUAAAGAGCGUGUAGGCGGCCAGGCAGGUCUGGUGUGAAAACUCGAGGCUUAACCUCGAGAUGUCAUCGGAAACCAUUUGGCUAGAGUCCGGAAGAGGAGAGUGGAAUUCCUGGUGUAGCGGUGAAAUGCGCAGAUAUCAGGAAGAACACCAAUGGCGAAAGCAGCUCUCUGGGACGGUACUGACGCUGAGACGCGAAAGCGUGGGGAGCGAACAGG